UGCAUUCACUACUGUAAGUUGCUCUGGAUAAGAGCGUCAGCUAAAUGACUUAAA
Molecule: non-coding RNA, 54 nt
Organism: Salmo salar (Atlantic salmon)
Lineage: Eukaryota; Metazoa; Chordata; Actinopteri; Salmoniformes; Salmonidae
Source: Rfam